This 119-nucleotide ribosomal RNA is filed under the name Pteropus alecto (black flying fox). Lineage: Eukaryota; Metazoa; Chordata; Mammalia; Chiroptera; Pteropodidae. The record is from RNAcentral.
GUCUAUGGCCAUGUCACCCUGAACAAGCCUGAUCCCGUCUGAUCUCAGAAGCUAAGCAAGGUCAGGCCUGGUAAGUACUUGGAUGGGAGACCACCUAGGAAGACCAGGUGCUGUAGGCA